This 94-nucleotide transfer RNA is filed under the name bacterium. Its description in RNAcentral is "tRNA-Ser". It matches the Rfam family "tRNA". From Rfam's summary of the family: Transfer RNA (tRNA) molecules are approximately 80 nucleotides in length. Their secondary structure includes four short double-helical elements and three loops (D, anti-codon, and T loops). The record is from RNAcentral.
GGAGAGAUGACUGAGCUGGCCGAAAGUGCACGAUUGGAAAUCGUGUGGAGGGCUAAUAACCUUCCCGUGGGUUCGAAUCCCACUCUCUCCGCCA